GGAACCACGCAUAAAGUCAAGCAAAGUAGGAAAGAAUUGACCUAAGUCUAUGCAUUCAAUUUAAAAGUACAUGACUUGAUUGAACAAAUAGAUUAGUUUAAUUGAGAAUUAAGUUAGAGGUCAUACAUGACUAAAGAGUUGUCUAUGUCUAACUAGCACUAGACAUGAGGUAUAGGUUUAAUUUCGAGGAUGAUGAUGAUCUGAUCAAUGAUCCAAGAGAUUUAUGAG
RNAcentral lists this long non-coding RNA (228 nucleotides) under Elaeis guineensis (African oil palm). RNAcentral describes it as "long non-coding RNA (EGUI_LNC020379)". Lineage: Eukaryota; Viridiplantae; Streptophyta; Magnoliopsida; Arecales; Arecaceae. The record is from RNAcentral.